Molecule: unclassified non-coding RNA, 233 nt
Filed under: uncultured fungus
Lineage: Eukaryota; Fungi
Description: sequence contains ITS2
Source: RNAcentral
AACGCAUAUUGCGCCCUUUGGUAUUCCGAAGGGCAUACCUGUUCGAGCGUCAUUACACCCCUCAAAGAUAACUCUUUGGCGUUGGGCAAUGCCUAAAGGCAUGCCUCAAAAUCAGCGAUGGUGAUAUUCAACCGCAGGCGCACAAUGUCGUCUAGCUAGCAGAAUGUUGUCAGUCAACUGAUAAAUUUCUAAAUGUUGACCUCGGAUCAGGUAGGAAUACCCGCUGAACUUAA